RNAcentral lists this ribosomal RNA (253 nucleotides) under uncultured bacterium. Its description in RNAcentral is "partial 16S ribosomal RNA". It matches the Rfam family "Bacterial small subunit ribosomal RNA", at positions 524 to 776 of the family's 1533-position model. The record is from RNAcentral.
UACGUAGGGUGCGAGCGUUAAUCGGAAUUACUGGGCGUAAAGCGUGCGCAGGCGGUUUUGUAAGCCAGAUGUGAAAUCCCCGGGCUUAACCUGGGAAUGGCAUUUGGGACUGCAAGGCUUGAGUGCGGCAGAGGAGACUGGAAUUCCCGGUGUAGCAGUGAAAUGCGUAGAUAUCGGGAGGAAUCCCGAUGGCGAAGGCAGGUCUCUGGGCUGACACUGACGCUCAUGCACGAAAGCGUGGGGAGCAAACAGG